This is an RNA transcript of Daphnia magna, 1390 nucleotides long. RefSeq lists it as uncharacterized. The record is from RefSeq and is a predicted model, not a curated record. The transcript is spliced from 8 exons. Lineage: Eukaryota; Metazoa; Arthropoda; Branchiopoda; Diplostraca; Daphniidae.
GCCCUCGAUGAAGAGUACGUUUAUUCAGAAUGGCUACCAGGUAAACCAGGAAAGGAUAAGUAAGAACCUGCUAAUCUCUUUUUUGAUGAACAUCUUUUGGAUACCUGGUACGAAAUUCAAAGCAAUACUCCUGGAACAUCACAAGAAAUGUUUCUGAGAAGUCUUUCUCAAAUGUCUACUCAAAAUGGCCGGCCUUGUAAGCCAAGUUACAUCAAUCCAAUUCUGUUUUCUAAAGCCUAUGACGAGAAUAAUCUAAUGCGAUAUCGCAUUCAAAAUGAAGUACUUCUCUAUAAACCUGAUAUUUGUUGGGCGUGUGGAGAACACCCAAUUGCUCUUCACGUCGAUGGAAAUUUAAAGUGCUAUCGUUGUAUUACAGCUAAAGGAUUUGAAACCGAUCCUCUCUUUCAAGAUAUCAUGAUAGCAUCUGAUAAAGACGUUAAGGAAUUUUUAGAUCUCAUUAAAAAUGUCAUUCCGCCGCAGUCAAAAAAUAAAGAAAACUGCGGCGCAGCAGUUUACCAGGCUGCUAAAACAACAUCUUCAUCAAUGAAAGGUCUGGAUGAAACUGGUUUGCUCAUUAUGAGCUGCCGUCACGGGUGGGUAUGGAGGGAGCUAAAUUUGUUCAUGGGUGAAACAUACCGCUAUGUACUGUACUUACAUGAGUACGCUAAGGACAAGAAUGUCCGUUUCUUUUGUUCCGAUGUCGUAUGUCAGUACUGGAUUUUCCUUUUGAAAGUCACUCAGACUGAAGAACUAAGAGAAAGAUUUGAAGGUCUUAUUACUUUGACCAUAGACUUUCUCUCGCGAUGGCACGGGAAAACACACGCGUGAUUUUACCAACUACUACACCUUGGAUCUUACAAAAAAGGAGCUGGUGCUACUAGUGGUGAAAGUCAAGAACAAAACAAUGCACACACCAGUCGCUUUGUAACAACAACCAAACACAUGAGUGCAUCUCGAAGAAUAGAUACUUUUAGCGCUAGUUUUAUCAAAGAAAACUGGGAAAUUUGUGUAUUACACUGCCAUUAUAGGUGACACUUAAAGAGAGUGUUAAUCAAAUUAUAGGCUAGGGUAAGUGUAAAAUGGUACCGCAAACAAACAUCCAAGCUGAUGGAUGCGCGACUUGAAAAGGUUAAUCUUCUGUGUGAAAAAGGCGCUUCUCUAAUUGAAGAGCAAAAAGUCACGCUGGUUGACUAUAACCAGAAAUUAGAGCACCUUAGAGUAGAAGGAAACAAGAAUGGAAAAGCGGAAGAAGAAUGGAAGAAAUGGAAAAGCUUAUUACUCUUGUAUGGUUACAGCACUGAUAUACUGUAACAAUAUUGUCACGUGGUCAAUGACCACGUUAUGUGAUCCGGUUAGUAUGCAAUGCUACCGGACGUGUGACGUCAGUGUU